ACAGCUUUGGCAAAGGAUUCAAUUUCGAACAGCCUCUUCAUGAGAAACUUCUCAAAGAUUUUGGACAAACCGGACAGCAGGCUAAUGGGACGGUAUGAGCGAGCUUCCGAGGGGCAUUUUCCAGGCUUCAAAAUCAUAGAGAUGCCAGCAUGUUUCCAUUUUUUUGGGAAAUGGCCGAUUCGCAGAAUGGAGUUAAAGAUAAGUAUAAUGUAUAAUAGCGCUUUUUGCGGCAACAAUUUAAUUAGUUUGUUGUCUAAUCUAUCUUCUCCAGGUGAUUUGCGCAGGUCAAGUUCGUCAAUUUCCAGUUUCAGUUCAUUCAGCGUAAUUGGUCGUAUAGGAUGGUGUUCAGUGCUUGUGAGUUGGAGCUGUUGCUGUAGUAAUUGCUUCCACCCGUCCCGUAUGUCCGUUCUUUCGCUGUCCGAUGUGUGCAGAAUAGUCUGGAAUCUAUCUUCGAGAUGUUUGGCAAAAACUUCCGCCUUCUCAAGAGUAGUUUUGGACCAAGAGACUCUACUGGCGCCGCUAUUAGGGACUAGACGAUGUGUUUUAAGCGGGUAAUUUGCCUGCGGCUGAAUUUUGAGUUUGUUUUUUCAGCAGCGCUUUUUUAAGAGAGUUUUGUGCGGCUCUGUAUUGUCGUUUUGCCUCCGGAGUGCGUGUUGUCAUCAAUACUCGUUUACAUUGUUGUUUGUAAGCGAGUAGUCGUCUAGUGGGCUCAUCCAGAUCAAUGUCGUGGUCUGAGUUGCUUCGCCUCCAUGGAUGUUGACCGCUUGCGCGAUUGCAGGCUGCAGUAGCCGCUUCUUUAAUAUUUCCCAUGAGGAUAUCAAGAGCAUCUUCAAUGUCAAGACCUGUGUUUAUUUCAGUGUUGAGGUGUAUGUUUCGCUCGAGAGUCGAUUUAAAUACGGUCAAGUUGGCGUUUUUGGGAAGCAAUCGAGGGUUGUUUUGUGUAGAUAAGUAAUUGUUUCCGCUGUCUGCAGAGAGGUCAAUUCUGAGUGAGUAAAUUGCGAAGUCGAUAGCAGAUGGCCUUUUUCUGCUGUCGAAUGGAAAGUGUGUUGCUCCACCUGUGGCUAGGAUGUUGUAAUGGGGGCGCGAGUGGACAGCUUGCACUAUCGAUCUGCCUCUCAGACAUGUGCGAGGGUUGCCCCACCAGGAAUGUUUCGCAUUCCAGUCCCCGCAGAGGAGAAAGUUGCAGAUUGUUCUGUCAGUAAUGCAGUCAAAAUGCUUUAACAGUUUGGUGAAGUGAUCGGGAGACCAUUUAAAUACGGGCGGACAAUAAAUAGGCGCUAUUACAAUGAUGUCUUUUUUAUUAUUGUUCGCAGGUAACAGGGCAAUCGGAGCUGACUGGAAGAACGUUUCAUUGAUUGGCUGGAGUGCUGCGUGUUUGAUGUCCGCACGUACUAGAAUGGCUACGCCACCUUUUCUGUGCGACUGAGGAUUGGUUGCAGAGUACGUUAUGAAUCCUGGCACUUUCAAGAUAUUUGCAUUGG
Drosophila albomicans is the source of this 1481-nucleotide long non-coding RNA. RefSeq lists it as uncharacterized. NCBI's taxonomy places the organism in Eukaryota, Metazoa, Arthropoda, Insecta, Diptera, Drosophilidae. The record is from RefSeq and is a predicted model, not a curated record. The transcript is spliced from 3 exons.